Molecule: long non-coding RNA, 334 nt
Organism: Macrobrachium nipponense
Lineage: Eukaryota; Metazoa; Arthropoda; Malacostraca; Decapoda; Palaemonidae
Exons: 3
Source: RefSeq, a predicted model, not a curated record
UUUGAAAAGUAGAUUAGAUGUCUUCGAGGAGAGAGCCGCGUUGGUGGGGAAAGUCUGCAAGCUACAGCCUACAUCCCUGCACGCGCCGAGCGGGGCAAACCACCUUGUUUGGGACACGAAGCAUAGGCCUAGUAUAGUGUGGUGUCCUAACUAUAAAGUAGCGUCUACGACCAUGAUGAUGAGUUUCUUGCGUAUUUCUCCUAAUAGCAAAAGAGUACAGAAGAAGAAAACGAAGCGCGUGAAACAGAGCGAACGUGCGACGCAUCUACUGGGCUCCAAAAAUCAGGGGAGGAGAAAGCAGAGGUCCUGCAGAAGAGCGCCCGAGUCAUUAUCG